This 164-nucleotide ribosomal RNA is filed under the name Galanthus elwesii. Its description in RNAcentral is "5.8S ribosomal RNA". It matches the Rfam family "5.8S ribosomal RNA". Rfam says of the family: 5.8S ribosomal RNA (5.8S rRNA) is a component of the large subunit of the eukaryotic ribosome. It is transcribed by RNA polymerase I as part of the 45S precursor that also contains 18S and 28S rRNA. Functionally, it is thought that 5.8S rRNA may be involved in ribosome translocation. Lineage: Eukaryota; Viridiplantae; Streptophyta; Magnoliopsida; Asparagales; Amaryllidaceae. The record is from RNAcentral.
GCAUGACUCUUGGCAAUGGAUAUCUUGGCUCUUGCAUCGAUGAAGAACAUAGCGAAAUAUGAUACUUGGUGUGAAUUGCAAAAUCUUGUGAAUCAUCGAGUAUUUGAACGCAAGUUGCGCUCAAUGCUGUCAGGCUAAGGGCAUUCCUGCUUGGGCAUCACGCC